UCCCCGUUGCCGAGGCAGUCUUGUAAGAAAAAUACAACUUACAAUAAGGGUUGCGCUCGUUAAGGGACUUAACCCAACAUCUCACGACACGAGCUGACGACGACCAUGCAUCACCUGUCACUGCGUUCCUCUUGCGAGGCACAGUCGCCUUUCGGCGACCUUCGCAGGAUGUCAAGCCUAGGUAAGGUUCUUCGCGUUGCAUCGAAUUAAGCCACAUGCUCCGCCGCUUGUGCGGGUCCCCGUCAAUUCCUUUGAGUUUUAGCCUUGCGGCCGUACUCCCCAGGCGGAGUGCUUAAUGCGUUAGCUGCGGCACAGAGCGGGUUGAUAUCCGCCCACACCUAGCACCCAACGUUUACGGCUAGGACUAC
This 368-nucleotide unclassified non-coding RNA is filed under the name uncultured bacterium. Its description in RNAcentral is "contains 16S-23S intergenic spacer region". The record is from RNAcentral.